GAAUAUGAAGUGAUUCAUUACAAUUAGUUUCGACCUAAUCUUAGGUUAUUUAACCCUUAUUCU
This 63-nucleotide transfer RNA is filed under the name Cylindrotoma sp. ZK-2016. Its description in RNAcentral is "tRNA-Arg". The record is from RNAcentral. Lineage: Eukaryota; Metazoa; Arthropoda; Insecta; Diptera; Cylindrotomidae.